AAUAGAUACCCAGGUAGUCCACGCUGUAAACGUUGGGCGCUAGGUGUGGGGGGCCUCUCCGGUUCUCUGUGCCGCAGCUAACGCAUUAAGCGCCCCGCCUGGGGAGUACGGCCGCAAGGCUAAAACUCAAAGGAAUUGACGGGGGGCCCGCACAAGCGGCGGAGCAUGCGGAUUAAUUCGAUGCAACGCGAAGAACCUUACCUGGGUUUGACAUGGCCGCAAAACCGGCAGAGAUGUCGGGUCCUUCGGGGGCGGUCACAGGUGGUGCAUGGCUGUCGUCAGCUCGUGUCGUGAGAUGUUGGGUUAAGUCCCGCAACGAGCGCAACCCUCGUUCGAUGUUGCCAGCGCGUUAUGGCGGGGACUCAUCGAAGACUGCCGGGGUCAACUCGGAGGAAGGUGGGGAUGACGUCAAGUCAUCAUGCCCCUUAUGUCCAGGGCUUCACGCAUGCUACAAUGGCCGGUACAAUGGGCUGCGAUACCGUGAGGUGGAGCGAAUCCCAAAAAGCCGGUCUCAGUUCGGAUCGGGGUCUGCAACG
RNAcentral lists this ribosomal RNA (536 nucleotides) under uncultured bacterium. RNAcentral's name for it is "bacterial SSU rRNA". It matches the Rfam family "Bacterial small subunit ribosomal RNA", at positions 777 to 1312 of the family's 1533-position model. The record is from RNAcentral.